RNAcentral lists this ribosomal RNA (493 nucleotides) under uncultured bacterium. Its description in RNAcentral is "partial 16S ribosomal RNA". It matches the Rfam family "Bacterial small subunit ribosomal RNA", at positions 29 to 523 of the family's 1533-position model. The record is from RNAcentral.
AUUGAACGCUGGCGGCAUGCUUUACACAUGCAAGUCGAACGGUAACAGGUUAAGCUGACGAGUGGCGAACGGGUGAGUAAUGCAUCGGAACGUGCCCGGUCGUGGGGGAUAACGCAGCGAAAGCUGCGCUAAUACCGCAUACGAUCUGAGGAUGAAAGCGGGGGACCGUAAGGCCUCGCGCGAUCGGAGCGGCCGAUGUCAGAUUAGGUAGUUGGUGGGGUAAAGGCUCACCAAGCCAACGAUCUGUAGCUGGUCUGAGAGGACGACCAGCCACACUGGGACUGAGACACGGCCCAGACUCCUACGGGAGGCAGCAGUGGGGAAUUUUGGACAAUGGGCGAAAGCCUGAUCCAGCAAUGCCGCGUGCAGGAAGAAGGCCUUCGGGUUGUAAACUGCUUUUGUACGGAGCGAAAAGGUCUCCUCUAAUACAGGGGGCUCAUGACGGUACCGUAAGAAUAAGCACCGGCUAACUACGUGCCAGCAGCCGCCGCGG